UCACAUCAGCUACUAUGGAUGCAGAAA
Molecule: non-coding RNA, 27 nt
Filed under: Cricetulus griseus (Chinese hamster)
Lineage: Eukaryota; Metazoa; Chordata; Mammalia; Rodentia; Cricetidae
Source: RNAcentral